CUUUACACUGCGGGAACCGCGAUAAGGGCACACUGAGUGCCAGCAUAUUAUGUUGGCUGUCCGCAUGUAUAAAUAGCAUGUGUUAGCAAGGGCCGGGCAAGACCGGUGCCAGCCGCCGCGGUAACACCGGCGGCCCGAGUGGUGGCCACUAUUAUUGGGUCUAAAGGGUCCGUAGCCGGUUCGAUCAGUCUUCCGGGAAAUCUGACAGCUCAACUGUUAGGCUUCCGGGGGAUACUGUCGGACUUGGGACCGGGAGAGGUAAGAGGUACUACAGGGGUAGGAGUGAAAUCUUGUAAUCCUUGUGGGACCACCAGUGGCGAAGGCGUCUUACCAGAACGGGUCCGACGGUGAGGGACGAAAGCUGGGGGCACGAACCGGAUUAGAUACCCGGGUAGUCCCAGCCGUAAACGAUGCUCGCUAGGUGUCUGGGAUGGUGCGACCGUUUCAGGUGCCGCAGGGAAGCCGUGAAGCGAGCCACCUGGGAAGUACGGCCGCAAGGCUGAAACUUAAAGGAAUUGGCGGGGGAGCACUACAACGGGUGGAGCCUGCGGUUUAAUUGGACUCAACGCCGGAAAACUCACCUGGGGCGACUGCCACAUGAAGGUCAAGCUGAUGACUUUACCUGAUUGGUAGAGAGGUGGUGCAUGGCCGUCGUCAGUUCGUACCGUAGGGCGUUCUGUUAAGUCAGAUAACGAACGAGACCCUUGCCCUUAAUUGCCAUGUUUCCCUCCGGGGGAACGGUACUUUAAGGGGACCGCUGGUGCAAAAUCAGAGGAAGGUAAGGGCAACGGUAGGUCAGUAUGCCCCGAAUCCCCUGGGCGACACGCGCGCUACAAAGGCCGGGACAAAGGGUUCCGACACCGAGAGGUGAAGGUAAUCCCGAAACCUGUCCGUAGUUCGGAUCGAGGGCUGCAA
Molecule: ribosomal RNA, 915 nt
Filed under: uncultured Methanolobus sp.
Lineage: Archaea; Methanobacteriati; Methanobacteriota; Methanomicrobia; Methanosarcinales; Methanosarcinaceae
Description: bacterial SSU rRNA
Rfam family: Archaeal small subunit ribosomal RNA
Source: RNAcentral